UUUCCGUAGGUGAACCUGCGGAAGGAUCAUUCAUAAUAAGUGUUUUAUGGCACUUUUUAAAUCCAUAUCCACCUUGUGUGCAUGUCAGUCGGUCUUCUUUAUGGAGAUCGGCCAAACAUCAACCUAAUUUUUUAACUCUUUGUCUGAAAAAUAUUAUGAAUAAAAUAAUUCAAAAUACAACUUUCAACAACGGAUCUCUUGGCUCUC
Molecule: unclassified non-coding RNA, 207 nt
Filed under: plant metagenome
Description: partial contains small subunit ribosomal RNA, internal transcribed spacer 1, and 5.8S ribosomal RNA
Source: RNAcentral